UGGGGAAUAUUGCACAAUGGACGGAAGUCUGAUGCAGCAACGCCGCGUGCGGGAUGACGGCCUUCGGGUUGUAAACCGCUUUUUCUCAUGACGAAGUUUUUUGACGGUAGUGGGGGAAGAAGCACCGGCUAACUACGUGCCAGCAGCCGCGGUGAUACGUAGGGUGCGAGCGUUGUCCGGAAUUAUUGGGCGUAAAGAGCUUGUAGGCGGUUCGUCGCGUCGAUAGUGCAAACUCAGUGCUUAACGCUGAGCCUGCUGUUGAUACGGGCAGACUAGAGGAAGGUAGGGGAGAAUGGAAUUCCCGGUGGAGCGGUGGAAUGCGCAGAUAUCGGGAGGAACACCGGUGGCGAAGGCGGUUCUCUGGGCCUUUCCUGACGCUGAGAAGCGAAAGCGUGGGGAGCGAACAGG
RNAcentral lists this ribosomal RNA (408 nucleotides) under Fusobacteriota bacterium. RNAcentral's name for it is "Fusobacteria bacterium partial 16S ribosomal RNA". It matches the Rfam family "Bacterial small subunit ribosomal RNA", at positions 355 to 776 of the family's 1533-position model. The record is from RNAcentral. Lineage: Bacteria; Fusobacteriati; Fusobacteriota.